RNAcentral lists this long non-coding RNA (819 nucleotides) under Fukomys damarensis (Damara mole-rat). RNAcentral's name for it is "lncRNA (ENSFDAG00000027036.1)". Lineage: Eukaryota; Metazoa; Chordata; Mammalia; Rodentia; Bathyergidae. The record is from RNAcentral.
GGAAACACCCUCGGAGCAGAGGCAGAGCCAGAGAGCAGGUGGCCGAGCGGCCUCCGCUGUCCGCCUCCCUUCCCCCCCCCCGACCCACUUAGACGUGAGCUUGAAGGGCGCCCCGCGGCCCUGGCUGGGCCUGCUGGACUGCAGGGGCCCUGGAGGGGAAGAGGGUUGGCCUCACCCUGCUCGGCUUUCUCUGCAGACCGCCGCUGGGCUGGGCCUCCAGGAGCCGGGCCACCGCUUCCUCCGCUGGACCACGCACUUCCCGGGAGAGUCUCCGAUCGUGGCCAAGAUGAGCUGCUGUCUGGAUUCUCAUUUCUACGCCAUCAGCACUGCAAAUACUUGCCAAGACCACCUUUCUUUAUUUGGCCACCUCUCUCCAUUCUUUCUCUCUAAUGCCUCCCCCGGUCCAGAACCGAGGCCCCAAGAUGCUGCCCAGUGACCUCCUGGAGCCCCAAUGUGCUGAGAGCCUGUGCUCGAUGACAGACUUCACCGGGGGCCUGAUGUUUGUUUGCUAGUCACACUUCCGUCCAGACCCGUUUCAGACAUCUCUCCUCCAUGAGCUCUCCUGACUCCUCAGCUAAGUGAUCUUUCCCUCUUGUUUACGUGGUCACACCGCCAUUUUCAUGGCACUUACCAAGGUCCAUGUUUUUACUUUCUAGUCAUCUUUACCCACACCACCUCCUGGACCUGACUGUAAAGUAAGGACCACUGAACUUCAUGUCUCAGAAGUAAUGCUAUGUAAUGCAUAUCUAAUAAAUAAACAAAGGGGUGAUAUGUCCAUGAAUGUAUUUUCUUAUGAUGGUAUUUUAGUGUGGCUGCCAA